GGGAGAAUUUGGAUUUUUUUUUUUCUAUUUCAGUAAGAAACAUUUCUUCCUUUAUUGUUAGAUGGCCCGAAUAGCAUGGAAAUCUGUCCAUGACCGGUCCUAUUUAUUAGCCAAAUAAGAUGCCUUAAUUAAAAAAUACACACCACAGCAGAAAUCAUCCAGAUAAACUCUCUAUCUCUCUCCAACAAACCUGGAAAAUAUGCCUUCACUUGGGGCCAUGUAGUCACAGCCCAGCAGGUAAUAAACUCUAUUUUUUAAAGUACAGGUCCCAGGGAAAUCAAGAGUGUAAGUGGAGUAGACAUUUAUUUCAAAGCUGUAAGCAUGCCUGACUAUAGAAAAGAGGUUCGAGAUCUUUGAGUAUGCUCCCAUUAUAAGAACUUUUCUAUACAUUCAUGUCUUUAUUUUCUUCCAUUUCAAACCUGUGAAUGGAGUCAACUGACCGUCAUUUCUCUCUCCUGCUGAGUCUGUAGAUUACCACAUGCAACGUAGGAAAACUACGGAAACUAGGUUCCUGGCUCCGGGACCUCAGGUCAGAGUGCUGUAUCUAUUGCCCUGUACCUGGUCUCCCCUCUGCAUGGAGAGUGUGAGUUAACUGACACCUCUAGGGUGUAAAGGUCCACACAGUCCUCGUCCUCAGAAUGGUGGUGGUGUGAUAAUAAUGGCCAUGACACCUGCAGUUGGUUGAGCUCACGCUAUGUGCUAGAUGACUUAUAAACACAAUUUUAUUUAGAAAAAUACUCCAAUGGUGCUGACAAAAUGAAGAAGCCACGACUUGGGAAACUAACAUGUCUGGAUCAAGGUCAAAGACAUGGGUUGGAACUCAGGUCUGACUGUUUCAAGUUUAUGUCUUCUUACCACAUCCUUCUAAGUUAAGGUAAAAAAUUUGAGCAGGGUGACCCUACGUUCCCGUCUAUCCCUGUUGUCCCAGCAUAAUCAGUAGGUCCCCAUGUCAUGCUCUGAAGUGUCCCCGUUUGGAGACUAAAUGAUCACUCUGUCCCCAAACAAGCUUUCAAAUGAAAUUCUCAGAGUAUUCAUAAUGUUUUAGUUAAUCCUUUUGCCUUUAACGAAGGACUUCAAACCAGUAGCAAACUGGGCCUCGCCUGGUGUAUGUGGGACAACAGAUGGGUUUGUGAAUGCCUAUCACUUCUUUUGCUUCUAUGCCUCUGUCCUCUCUCUUCAGGAAUCUUUGUCUUUCCUUUUUCUUCUCUCCUCCUAGCAUCCGUGUCUUAUUCUAUGUAGGCUUUCUCUAGCCUACAGAUUCUUUGGGUUUACUUUAAAAAUACAGCUUGGUCACUCAUUCAGAUGUUCAAAUCUCUAUGAAUGGUCCUUUUGUCAAAAAAGAGAGUGAAAACCAUUUUAAGGAUCUGUAACUUAUUUUUCCUCCCUCCUUCUCCUUAAGCUUCCCGCUACUAUCCCCCACUUCUUCCACAGUGUACGGGUGUCUGGGGAGCUUCCUCGUCACAGAUCCUGGACGAUGCUACCGGCGGUCUCACCGGGGGGGCAACCACUGAAAGGAGUGACUACCCACCCAUCAAGAGCUGGCAAUUCGCUGCUAUUAACCGUGACUGUGAUUCCCAGUCUGCCUGGCAGCUCCUGAGAACAGGCCUGCAACGUCUCAUAUGCAGUAAAAGCUGUAAGAUGCACCCUGGCCGGCACACUCGACCUGAUGGAUGUGCGAUCCUCGGGAAGGCUAAUGGAUUGAGCACACUUGCGAUUGGCGCGGGGACGGGAGGCCCAGACCCCCACGAGGGGCCUGCUGAUUUAACGGUCGCUUUACAUAUAAUUGAACUUUUCAUUUACCUGAAAGGCUGAAGGUGGUGGUGGAAGAAAGGGAAAGACCAUGACGGAAGGAAAAAACUCAAUAAAUACAAAAAGGUCCCUCUUAAAUACGAUCGCGACCCCCGGUGGGAGCUCUGACUCUGUUAGGACACAUUCAGCCCCUCGUUCAGAUUCCAGGACGCUUGGCAAAGUAUGCCCUUGUGGAGAAGCACUGUUUGUUGGUUAAGAACCUAACAUUCGGAGAGUUAACUUAAUACAGUUAAUGACAUUUCCAUGUGAAGGAAGGGAACAGGAGAAUUCCUUUAAUGAAACUCUGGUGCCAGUGAAUGCAUUGUCUAUGCCUCAGUAGAAAAAAUGCCUUCUGGAGAAACUCCUAUCAGGGAAUUAUGGAGAGGGGGAGCUGGACUUCCAGAAGGAUGCCUAAUGUAAUAUCAGUUUGCAAUAUCGAUUUUGUCAUGCACAAAAAGCCCCCUUGCCUCUUUGAAUUUAAGGUGCUUUGGAACUGUACCCAUAUGCUUUGGAACUGUACCCAUAUGCCUUACAGAUCAGUGGUUGGGAAACAAAACCGGAAUCCAACGGCAGAGCGCUCCAUACUUUGAGGAUUUUGGUGAUUGGGGUGGUUUGCUAAGAGCGGUGAUGGAAACUCGGUGUCGUAAGUAGCUUUCUAUUAAUUUGAAAUGAGAGCAUACGUCAUUGAUGUUCUUGGGCAUUUCCUAAAUGCGCGGUUACAGGACUGAUGGAGGACUAUUUUAUUGUUGUCAUUUUAAUCCAAAUAAUCAACCACUCGGUGAGUCUAAGACAAGUCAAGAUGAGAGCAAGUACUCUUUUUCAGGCCGCUGCUACUGGGUACCCUGUGGAGACUUCUCCUGUUCAGAGAGAAGGUGCCACUGGGUGGCUGUCUUGCCGUGACACCUCUACCUGCUGCCAGACUGCGGAGGCCGCAUACAGGCCAGGCCAAUACCUAUGGUUAGACGGGAGAGGAAAGGACUCAGGGCAGUGAUAGUGGGACCGAAGCAAUCUAAUUCAAUCUCUGUUUUGACAUUUAAAUAAAGGUACUGCUUUUAAAA
Long non-coding RNA from Mustela erminea (ermine), 2846 nucleotides. RefSeq lists it as uncharacterized. Lineage: Eukaryota; Metazoa; Chordata; Mammalia; Carnivora; Mustelidae. The record is from RefSeq and is a predicted model, not a curated record. The transcript has 2 exons.